AUUGAACGCUGGCGGCAGGCCUAACACAUGCAAGUCGAACGGUAGCACAGAGAGCUUGCUCUCGGGUGACGAGUGGCGGACGGGUGAGUAAUGUCUGUGAAACUGCCCGAUGGUGGGUUAUAACUACUGGAAACGGUAGCUAAUACCGCAUAAUGUCGCAAGACCAAAGAGGGGGACCUUCGGGCCUCUUGCCAUCGGAUGUGCCCAGAUGGGAUUAGCUUGUUGGUGAGGUAAUGGCUCACCAAGGCGACGAUCCCUAGCUGGUGUGAGAGGAUGACCAGCCAAAGGGGAAAUGAGACACGGUCCAGACACCUACGGGAGGCAACAGAGGGGAAUAUUGCACAAUGGGCGAAAGCCUGAUGCAGCAAUGCCGCGUGUGUGAAGAAGGCCUUCGGGUUGUAAAGAACUUUCAGCGGGGAGGAAGGCAAUACGGUUAAUAACCGUGUUGAUUGACGUUACCAGAAGAAGAAGCACCGGCUAACUACGUG
This 488-nucleotide ribosomal RNA is filed under the name uncultured bacterium. Its description in RNAcentral is "partial 16S ribosomal RNA". It matches the Rfam family "Bacterial small subunit ribosomal RNA", at positions 30 to 507 of the family's 1533-position model. The record is from RNAcentral.